Molecule: ribosomal RNA, 495 nt
Filed under: uncultured bacterium
Lineage: Bacteria
Description: bacterial SSU rRNA
Rfam family: Bacterial small subunit ribosomal RNA
Source: RNAcentral
AUGAACGCUAGCGACAGGCCUAACACAUGCAAGUCGAGGGGCAGCACAAGGAGCAAUCUGAGGUGGCGACCGGCGCACGGGUGAGUAACACGUAUGCAACCUGCCUGUAAGCGGGGAAUAACCCGUUGAAAGACGGACUAAUACCGCAUAAUACUAAAUUACUGCAUGGUAAUUUAUUUAAACAUUUAUGGCUUACAGAUGGGCAUGCGCAUGAUUAGCUAGUUGGAGAGGUAACGGCUCCCCAAGGCAACGAUCAUUAGGGGUUCUGAGAGGAAGGUCCCCCACACUGGUACUGAGACACGGACCAGACUCCUACGGGAGGCAGCAGUGAGGAAUAUUGGUCAAUGGACGAGAGUCUGAACCAGCCAAGUCGCGUGCAGGAAGAAUGUCCUAAUGGAUUGUAAACUGCUUUUGCAGGGGAAUAAAGUGCAUCACGUGUGAUGUUUUGUAUGUACUCUGCGAAUAAGGAUCGGUUAACUCCGUGCCAGCAGCAGC